GUCUCCCUUCAAAACUGGCUCCUGGCGCUCAUGCUCACACAUCAUGUGGAAGCAGAGUGCACACCGAGCCACACCAGUUUGCUUUUUUCCUCAAGACCUAAAAAGCCUGCUAUAAAAUAUUACUGGAGAUGGCUAUAGCCUUUUCUGGCACAAUAUGAAGGAGGAGAAGCAUUACUGUACUGAGACCAGCUGGAAGCCCCAACAGGAGGCUGCAUAGACCUAAGUCCAAGAUGUUUUCAGGGUCCUGGGAGAUCAGCAGAUGACCUGAAGAGAGGUGGAAGGGGCUGUUACUAAUGUCCAUAUGGAUGCAAAGGGUGAGCUUGUGACCUUGCACUCAAUGACCAGUACAACCGGAGGGUUCAUCCAGAUUACUCUUCCUGGAUGAAAGAAAAGAAAGGAAAGGAAGAAAAGAA
Molecule: long non-coding RNA, 413 nt
Organism: Anas platyrhynchos (mallard)
Lineage: Eukaryota; Metazoa; Chordata; Aves; Anseriformes; Anatidae
Source: RefSeq, a predicted model, not a curated record